AUAAUAUCAAGUUCAAGUAUGCAUAAACGAACGUUACGUACUCACAACUUACAACGUUUUUAUUUUAAUAAAUUUUGAAAUUAAAAGUUUCUAUUGAUGUUUCAGAUGGUAAAAGAUACUAGGUAGCUUAGCUUAGGUUGCAGAAACAAAUGGCAGUCCAGUCCAGUCCAGUCCAGGUGUUCUUCUCCCAACAUCAUUGCACACCUUGCCCGCACUUCUUUACACUGAUCACCAGAUUUUUAUCAUUUUCAACUGUUUUUUGUUCUUUUCAAUAUAAACUGUAUAAUUAAGUGCUGUGCAGGUUUGGCAUUGGCAAGAAAAAGAUAAUUAACUUUAUCUGACUGGGACUGCAAUUCUUAAUAUAAGUUUGCAGGCAUGCGAAUAUGAUGCU
RNAcentral lists this long non-coding RNA (391 nucleotides) under Prunus persica (peach). RNAcentral's name for it is "long non-coding RNA (PPER_LNC002853)". Lineage: Eukaryota; Viridiplantae; Streptophyta; Magnoliopsida; Rosales; Rosaceae. The record is from RNAcentral.